RNAcentral lists this ribosomal RNA (471 nucleotides) under uncultured bacterium. RNAcentral's name for it is "partial 16S ribosomal RNA". It matches the Rfam family "Bacterial small subunit ribosomal RNA", at positions 28 to 506 of the family's 1533-position model. The record is from RNAcentral.
GACGAACGCUGGCGGCGUGCUUAACACAUGCAAGUCGAACGAUGAACCCGGAGCUUGCUCUGGGGGAUUAGUGGCGAACGGGUGAGUAACACGUGAGUAACCUGCCCUGGACUCUGGGAUAAGCGUUGGAAACGACGUCUAAUACCGGAUAGGACCUUGGGUCGCAUGAUCUGGGGUGGAAAGUUUUUUCGGUCUGGGAUGGACUCGCGGCCUAUCAGCUUGUUGGUGAGGUAAUGGCUCACCAAGGCGUCGACGGGUAGCCGGCCUGAGAGGGUGACCGGCCAAAUGGGGACUGAGACAGGGCCCGGCCUCCCACGGGGGGCGGCAGUGGGGAAUAUUGCACAGUGGGCGAAAGCCGGGGGCAGCAACGCCGGGGGGGGGAUGACGGCCUUCGGGUUGUAAACCCCUUUUAGGAGGGAAAAAGGGCUUCGGCUUGCGGGUACCUGCAAAAAAAGGACCGGCAAACUACGU